This 490-nucleotide ribosomal RNA is filed under the name uncultured bacterium. RNAcentral describes it as "partial 16S ribosomal RNA". It matches the Rfam family "Bacterial small subunit ribosomal RNA", at positions 30 to 507 of the family's 1533-position model. The record is from RNAcentral.
AUUGAACGCUGGCGGCAGGCCUAACACAUGCAAGUCGAGCGGUAACAGGAAGCAGCUUGCUGCUUCGCUGACGAGUGGCGGACGGGCGAGUAAUGUCUGGGAAACUGCCUGAUGGAGGGGGAUAACUACUGGAAACGGUAGCUAAUACCGCAUAACGUCGCAAGACCAAAGAGGGGGACCUUAGGGCCUCUUGCCAUCGGAUGUGCCCAGAUGGGAUUAGCUAGUAGGUGGGGUAACGGCUCACCUAGGCGACGAUCCCUAGCUGGUCUGAGAGGAUGACCAGCCACACUGGAACUGAGACACGGUCCAGACUCCUACGGGAGGCAGCAGUGGGGAAUAUUGCACAAUGGGCGCAAGCCUGAUGCAGCCAUGCCGCGUGUAUGAAGAAGGCCUUCGGGUUGUAAAGUACUUUCAGCGGGGAGGAAGGGAGUAAAGUUAAUACCUUUGCUCAUUGACGUUACCCGCAGAAGAAGCACCGGCUAACUCCGUG